AACGGUAGCGAUGGAAAAAACGGUAGCAACGAAAGUAUCUACAACGAGCGCAGUAGCAUAAACCGCAUUGAAACAAAUAAAACACUUUUUUAUAAUUAUAUAAAUAACAUUUUAUUAUAUUAUAGUUUAAUAAAUUUCCGAGAUGACUAUUUUCUUUUAACAUUUUUUGAAUAUCUUGAACAAAUAAAAACGCAUAUAAUAUUAUUAUAUUAUGAAAUAAAUCAAAAAAUUAAUCAAUCCAUUAAAACAUGUCAUGAUAUAAAUGAAUCAUUAAACAACGAGUUUGAUCAGUUAUUAAAAGAAUACAAAGUAAAUGUUGAAAAGUGUAUGAUAAGUAAUGAUUAUUUACAAUUAUAUAAUUGCUUACCUAUAUAUAAUGAAAAAAAAAAAAUUCUAAUAGAAUUUAUAAAAAAUGUAGAUGAAAAAAAAAAGACUAUUAAUAAGAGUUGUAUUGAUCAAGUAAAUGAACUUGCAUCCUUUUUUUUUAAUUCUGUUUUAAAAAAGUCGAAAAUAGUGGAUAGCGAUAGUGAAGAUAAUGAAAAAGGAGUCGCCAAGACAGAUUCCGUAAUAAACUUACUAGAAAAAAAAAAAAAAAAAACACCAAAACUUAAGAAAAGUAAAAAAAAACAUAACCACAGUGAUAAUAAAAAUCAUUCAAAAGAUGAUAGUUCAGACGAACUAUCGAGCGAAGAAGAUGAUAAAUCACCACCAAAAGGAAUAGACGACAUAAAUAUGUUGACUACAAAUCUAAACAUAACUGAUAUGGGUAAUGUGACAAACUUAACAGAUGUGGCAGAUGUGACUGAUACGACACAAAAAGAUUCCAAAGUAGAAGACACAAUUAAGCAGCUAAUCAGUAACAAAUAUAAAUAUACAUACAUUUUUGAUAAAAUCAUGGUAUACAUUUUUAAUACGUUUAAAAGUAACGUAGAAAGUGUUUUCUCUGAUAUAGAACAUAAAAAAUAUAAAGAAUCUUUUUUAUUAAUACAACAAAAUAAAAUAAAAAAAACCGAGUACAAUAAUGGUAGUGACAGUGGUAACGAUAACAACAAGAAGAAUGGAAAAGAAAAUAAAUUUAAUGUCUCUACUUCAAUAAAAACAAACGUAAUACAAAUUAAAAAAGACAUAAAUAAAAUAAAUAACAAAAAUAAUGAAAAAAAUAAUGAAAAAAAUAUAGUUAAUUCACCUUAUCAAAGUGAUGAAAAACAAAAAGAUUGCAAAAAUGAGAAUAGUGAAAUAAUAAAUAUCAUUAACGAAACAGACAACCAAACAAAUACAACGCAACAAAUGUUCUUACAAGAUAUAAUAAAUUAUAAAAACAUACUGUUCGAUUAUAAUCAACUAAAACAGUAUUAUGAACUGAUGAUAAAAACUUUUUAUGAACAGUUUAAAAACAUGCUUUUUGUAUACUUAUUAAAAAUAUACAUGCAAAUAAAAAAAGGAGGGUAUAUAAAAGGUAAUUAUAUUUUUAGGGAACUGCAAACAGGGGAACAACCGAGUAAAAAGAAAAAAAUGGCAACCGAGACAACAACCGAGACAACAACCGAGACAAC
Piliocolobus tephrosceles (Ugandan red Colobus) is the source of this 1553-nucleotide long non-coding RNA. NCBI's taxonomy places the organism in Eukaryota, Metazoa, Chordata, Mammalia, Primates, Cercopithecidae. The record is from Ensembl.